Molecule: ribosomal RNA, 465 nt
Filed under: Vreelandella stevensii
Lineage: Bacteria; Pseudomonadati; Pseudomonadota; Gammaproteobacteria; Oceanospirillales; Halomonadaceae
Description: partial 16S ribosomal RNA
Rfam family: Bacterial small subunit ribosomal RNA
Source: RNAcentral
CCUACGGGGGGCAGCAGUGGGGAAUAUUGGACAAUGGGGGCAACCCUGAUCCAGCCAUGCCGCGUGUGUGAAGAAGGCCCUCGGGUUGUAAAGCACUUUCAGUGAGGAAGAACGCCUUGUGGUUAAUACCCAUCAGGAAAGACAUCACUCACAGAAGAAGCACCGGCUAACUCCGUGCCAGCAGCCGCGGUAAUACGGAGGGUGCGAGCGUUAAUCGGAAUUACUGGGCGUAAAGCGCGCGUAGGUGGCUUGAUAAGCCGGUUGUGAAAGCCCCGGGCUCAACCUGGGAACGGCAUCCGGAACUGUCAAGCUAGAGUGCAGGAGAGGAAGGUAGAAUUCCCGGUGUAGCGGUGAAAUGCGUAGAGAUCGGGAGGAAUACCAGUGGCGAAGGCGGCCUUCUGGACUGACACUGACACUGAGGUGCGAAAGCGUGGGUAGCAAACAGGAUUAGAUACCCUGGUAGUC